This 26-nucleotide non-coding RNA is filed under the name Rattus norvegicus (Norway rat). Lineage: Eukaryota; Metazoa; Chordata; Mammalia; Rodentia; Muridae. The record is from RNAcentral.
UGAUACCUGCUCUGUUCGCCCGUUUC